AAAUUUAAAUUUAAUAUUUGAAUCUUAAAUAAAUUUAUUUUUGAAUUUAUAAUUUAAUUCAAAAUAUAAGUUAAAUUUUAAAUUUAAAGUUAUAAUAUAAAAAUUAAAAUUAAAAUUGUGUAAUUAGCUGGUAUUGACACAGCGUCCAUGGCCUAACAUGGUGUUGAGUGGCAUUUUUUGUCAAUUUUAACAACCGUUCUGACGGCAGGAAUUUAAUUGUAAUAAAAUCAAGAGGUUGAGAACUUGAUUAUAAAGGAAAAAAGGAUUGGGGACAAAAGUGAAAAAAGUUGAAAAUGUUAGAGA
RNAcentral lists this long non-coding RNA (303 nucleotides) under Ananas comosus (pineapple). Its description in RNAcentral is "long non-coding RNA (ACOM_LNC036667)". Lineage: Eukaryota; Viridiplantae; Streptophyta; Magnoliopsida; Poales; Bromeliaceae. The record is from RNAcentral.